GCUCCCAUAGCUCAGUGGUCAGAGCGCAGGUCUUCGGAACCUGGCGUCGGGGGUUCGAGUCCCUCUGGGAGCA
This 73-nucleotide transfer RNA is filed under the name Anaerolineae bacterium. RNAcentral describes it as "tRNA-Arg". It matches the Rfam family "tRNA". From Rfam's summary of the family: Transfer RNA (tRNA) molecules are approximately 80 nucleotides in length. Lineage: Bacteria; Bacillati; Chloroflexota; Anaerolineae. The record is from RNAcentral.